RNAcentral lists this ribosomal RNA (492 nucleotides) under uncultured bacterium. RNAcentral describes it as "partial 16S ribosomal RNA". It matches the Rfam family "Bacterial small subunit ribosomal RNA", at positions 29 to 507 of the family's 1533-position model. The record is from RNAcentral.
AGUGAACGCUGGCGGUAGGCCUAACACAUGCAAGUCGAACGGCAGCACAGUAAGAGCUUGCUCUUACGGGUGGCGAGUGGCGGACGGGUGAGGAAUACAUCGGAAUCUACUUUUUCGUGGGGGAUAACGUAGGGAAACUUACGCUAAUACCGCAUACGACCUACGAGUGAAAGCAGGGGAUCUUCGGACCUUGCGCGAUUGAAUGAGCCGAUGUCGGAUUAGCUAGUUGACGGGGUAAAGGCCCACCAAGGCGACGAUCCGUAGCUGGUCUGAGAGGAUGAUCAGCCACACUGGAACUGAGACACGGUCCAGACUCCUACGGGAGGCAGCAGUGGGGAAUAUUGGACAAUGGGCGCAAGCCUGAUCCAGCCAUACCGCGUGGGUGAAGAAGGCCUUCGGGUUGUAAAGCCCUUUUGUUGGGAAAGAAAAGCAGCAGGUUAAUACCCCGCUGUUCUGACGGUACCCAAAGAAUAAGCACCGGCUAACUUCGUG